GCUGGGUACAGUGGUGCAUGCCUGUAAUCCCAGCUGCUCGGGAAGCUCAGACAGGACGAUUUUGAGUUCAAAGUCAGCCUCAGCAAAGGCAAGGUGCUAAGCAACUCAGUGAGAUCCUGUCUCU
Molecule: small RNA, 124 nt
Filed under: Marmota monax (woodchuck)
Lineage: Eukaryota; Metazoa; Chordata; Mammalia; Rodentia; Sciuridae
Source: RNAcentral